Pan troglodytes (chimpanzee) is the source of this 2836-nucleotide long non-coding RNA. RefSeq lists it as uncharacterized. The record is from RefSeq and is a predicted model, not a curated record. The transcript is spliced from 3 exons. NCBI's taxonomy places the organism in Eukaryota, Metazoa, Chordata, Mammalia, Primates, Hominidae.
AGUACUCACAGACCUGGCUAACUGCAUACAAAGAAAGGGCCAGGGCCCACCUCACCAUGGCAGAGGUGUGCUCUGGGCGGUGGCAGCACCAGGUGGGACAGAGGGCACAGAGAAAGCUCUCAAUACUCAUGGCCACCAGGAGACAGAGACCCACUGUGUCGGAAAAUUGGAGACAGGAUCCAGAAACACAGCCACCUGCAAUGCCACCUGGUGAUACAGCAUGAAGAUUUUCUCCAGCAGGAUCACAGUUACACAGGAGAGGUUGACCAUAUCAACAGUGGCCAGGUUAAGGAUGUAGGUCACAUAGGGGCUGCUCCAGACCUGUGGAGAGCUAACAGAAGUGGAGAGACAAAGACCUGUCCACGAGAAGUCUCAUGCCCCUUCCUUCACUCUGACACCUCCUUAACAUGCUCCUGAAAUGUCAGCAUCAUGAGACAUGAGCUACACAAUGAUGCAGUAUGGGAAUUAAGAGAAGCUGGAAUUGUGGAGCAGACUUCGCAAGGCUUCUCUGACCUCUGCCUCCAGCUCUGGGAUCUGUGAAACACACUGGGCUCUUCUUCUAGACCUCCCUUUUUGAAGCUCCUCCAAAGACCAUUUCAUCAUCUCUACUCAACAGUCUCCUCAGGAAAUUGCCUCUUCAGUAGGCAAAUGUCACUUGCCACAAACUUAUCUUUGGCAUGAGGAUAAGACAGUGCUAAGGUAGAACUGUCUGUACCUUCUUUGGGUUUACAUUGUGAUAACUGCAAGGAGAAAAAUAAAUUGGGCUGAGUGGAUAGAAAAUGAUAAGGGUAAUGGAUGUUUCCUAGUGGGAUAAAUGAGGGGAGUUUCUUAGUAGGACAUGGAGAUCUGAAUGACCUACUGGAGCAACCAGGUGACAGCCAGAAGGAAAGAGCCACAGGCAGGCUCAGCAAGUUCACCAACCUGGGGCAAGUGGCUUCAUCUGCUUUGUUAAUCUUUGAUGCUCCUGUCCAGAGAGGGCCUCUUAAGCAACUUGAGUGCAAUAACUAUUUUUCUAUUAUUGUGUUAGUAAACCCCAAGAAGGUCCCUGCAACUCUAGAGAGUUAAAGACUUAUAAGCCAUUUUCAAGACUGGAGAAUAUUCUUAUCUCAGCCAUCAGUGGACAGAAAGGGGCAGCCAGGCCCCUUCAGAGCAGCACUGAGCUACUGUCCCUGGAGUGGUGGGGCCUGACCACAGCUUCCUCUUUCAACCAUGGAAUCCUUAUCACUAUUUUGCAAACACCAAAGAUGUAGCCUCAGAUGUGAAUCUACUCACAUGCUGGAAGUUUGUCCAUGAUGUUGAGAGCUCGUUUAAGUGGAAGAUCCUGGAUGAGUGCAGAUACAGACUGUGAGCAGGAGAGCCCUUCUCUGUCUCUUUUCAAGACUCUGAGACAGAGGCCAAGAGCCUAGCAUGCAAAACACCUCAGACAAUGCAUCCAGGAUAGGGGAGAACUGAUAUGAACCAUUCACCCUUAGCCAAAAACCUGCUCACCUUGGGCAGGUGUGGUACCUCAAGGCUGACCACAGACUAGAGGAGAUCUCAUGUGUCUUCCUUAGAGAGAUUCCUGUCCACCUUCCUGUCUCAGGAAGAUGGAUGGAAUCAUUUCAUUGGAGGAUGCCAACAUCCCCUGUCCAGGGCCCACUGCCUGAGCCUUGGACAUUUCUGCUGAGCUGGCUAGGCCUCUGAGAAUCAGCCCUGAUGACCCCUGAUGCCCCACUAUGGAGUCCAGAACACUGAAGAACUUAGGAUGCUUGAGAGGUGAAACGCUCUGGGCCCAAAGAGAUCAGACCAUCCUUUCCUGAGAUCCUGAACACUGAUAAUGACUUCUCAUACUUUAAGACAGCUUCAUAGAUGACGUUGCCAGAGAAGCUGAGCUCACUAAAGCAGGAUGUAUCUGUAACAAGAAAAAAAUCCUUAAAUGAGUUGCUAUAGCUGAUCCAUGGGAAUGCCCAAAAAGAUGUUACAGAUUUCACUAGGGCUUAAUCUUAGUCCUGCAGCACCAAGGACACACUUCCUCCUACUAACCUGGGAAGAGCCAGUUCAGGGGAGAACGGGAGGGAAUAACCCAAAUGUCCAUUAACAGAGAGUGCCAACAGCUUCCAAAAUGUGUCUCCAGUCAAGGACAGGCCAAGAUGACUCAUCAAAGAAAUGCAAAUCAAAACCACAACUAGAUAGCACCUUACGCCUGUUAGGAUGGCCAUUCUGAAAAAACAAAAGAUAACAAGUGCUAACGAGGAUGUGAAGAAAGGGAUCCCUCACACACUGUUGGUGAAAAUGCAAAAUGGCGCAGCUGCUGUGAAAAGCAGUAUGGAAAUUCCUCAAAAAAUUAACAGUAGAACUGCACCAUAUGGUCCAGAAAUCCCACUUCUGAGUAUUUGUCCAAAAGAAUUGAAAUCAGGUUUUCAAAGAAAUAUUAGCACUCUUAUGUUUGCUGCAAUACUAUUCACAAUAGCCAAAAUGUGGAAACAACCUAAAAAUCCAUCAAAAAAUGAAUGGAUAAAGAAAAUGUGAUAUAAACAUAAGAUAGAAUAGUAUUCAGCCUUUAAAAAGGAAGAAAUUUGGCCAGGUGUGGUGGCUCACGCCUAUAAUCCCAGCCCUUUGGGAGGCCAAGGUGAAUGGAUCACGAGGUCAGGAGUUCAAGAGCAACUUGACCAACAUGGUGAAACCCCGUCUCUACUAAAAAUACAAAAAUUAGCUGGGCAUGGUGGCAGGUGCCUGUAAUCCCAGCUACUUGGGAGGCUGAAGCAGAGAAUUGCAUGAACCUGGGAAGCGGAGGUUGUAGUGAGCCGAGAUUACACCACUGCACUCCAGCCUGGGCAGGGGAGGGAGACUCCAUCUC